CUACACAUGCAGUCGAGCGAGACCUUCGGGUCUAGCGGCGGACGGGUGAGUAACGCGUGGGAAUAUGCCCUUUGGUACGGAAUAGCCUCGGGAAACUGAGAGUAAUACCGUAUGUGCCCUUCGGGGGAAAGAUUUAUCGCCAAAGGAUUAGCCCGCGUUGGAUUAGGUAGUUGGUGGGGUAAUGGCCUACCAAGCCUACGAUCCAUAGCUGGUUUGAGAGGAUGAUCAGCCACACUGGGACUGAGACACGGCCCAGACUCCUACGGGAGGCAGCAGUGGGGAAUCUUAGACAAUGGGGGAAACCCUGAUCUAGCCAUGCCGCGUGAGUGAUGAAGGCCUUAGGGUUGUAAAGCUCUUUCAGCUGGGAAGAUAAUGACGGUACCAGCAGAAGAAGCCCCGGCUAACUCCGUGCCAGCAGCCGCGGUAAUACGGAGGGGGCUAGCGUUGUUCGGAAUUACUGGGCGUAAAGCGCACGUAGGCGGACUGGAAAGUUGGAGGUGAAAUCCCAGGGCUCAACCUUGGAACUGCCUUCAAAACUAUCAGUCUGGAGUUCGAGAGAGGUGAGUGGAAUUCCGAGUGUAGAGGUGAAAUUCGUAGAUAUUCGGAGGAACACCAGUGGCGAAGGCGGCUCACUGGCUCGAUACUGACGCUGAGGUGCGAAAGUGUGGGGAGCAAACAGGAUUAGAUACCCUGGUAGUCCACACCGUA
RNAcentral lists this ribosomal RNA (708 nucleotides) under bacterium 80_oclvp279. Its description in RNAcentral is "bacterial SSU rRNA". It matches the Rfam family "Bacterial small subunit ribosomal RNA", at positions 49 to 804 of the family's 1533-position model. The record is from RNAcentral. RNAcentral also lists the same sequence under 1 other name.